This 460-nucleotide ribosomal RNA is filed under the name uncultured bacterium. RNAcentral's name for it is "partial 16S ribosomal RNA". It matches the Rfam family "Bacterial small subunit ribosomal RNA", at positions 338 to 795 of the family's 1533-position model. The record is from RNAcentral.
CCUACGGGUGGCAGCAGUGAGGAAUAUUGGUCAAUGGGCGGGAGCCUGAACCAGCCAAGUCGCGUGAGGGAAGACGGUCCUACGGAUUGUAAACCUCUUUUGCCGGGGAGCAACGGGGUCCUUGCGAGGGCCCGAUGAGAGUACCCGGAGAAAAAGCAUCGGCUAACUCCGUGCCAGCAGCCGCGGUAAUACGGAGGAUGCGAGCGUUAUCCGGAUUUAUUGGGUUUAAAGGGUGCGCAGGCGGAGGCACAAGUCAGCGGUAAAAUCGCGGGGCUCAACCCCGCUCCGCCGUUGAAACUGUGUCCCUUGAGUGCGCGAAGGGUAGGCGGAAUGCGUGGUGUAGCGGUGAAAUGCAUAGAUAUCACGCAGAACUCCGAUCGCGAAGGCAGCCUACCGGCGCGCAACUGACGCUCAUGCACGAAAGCGUGGGUAUCGAACAGGAUUAGAUACCCUGGUAGUC